AGUUUGGGAGCACAGGCUCAAAAAGGUUUGUCAUCACUGUUGCAGACUAUGGAAGAAGGGAGGGUUAGGGCUCAUUUUAAAGUACAUCUUCAGAAAUUAAGUAAUACAAAAUUGAAACCGGACAGAACAAUUUGUAUCUUUGCCUCGCGACAACACUGAAGCAAAGAGGAAGGGAAAUUGGGCUAUGUUUCAUUUCGUAUUGCAGAAUAGUUACACUUUGUGGCGAGAGAAUUGGUUAACCAGAGAGAAAUGUCAAGAGUUGCCUAAAUGCAUUUCCAAUACAUGCUUGUGUAUACACCCAUAUGUCAAUAAGCUUAUAUUUACUAGUAUCUUAUUUUUCUGCAAAUGACUGAGCACAAAUUAAUGUGCUUGGAGCAUCGUAGAAUAGUGAUGUUACCCUGGAUACAAAGGUGCAAUGGACCUCAAUGUGACUUUUACUUUCAUCACUUCUACACCUUACCUGAGUGGUACUUCAAUACAUCUUACGUAGAUGAGGCAUUGAGGAACUAUUUCUUCUUAAGAAGUGACAGUUCUGCUUUAAAAUGAGGGUCAGCAUGUAUAUGCAUCUGACAUAAAGGGAAGUGAAG
This is a non-coding RNA of Pelobates cultripes (western spadefoot toad), 587 nucleotides long. The record is from the annotation of a GenBank genome assembly. NCBI's taxonomy places the organism in Eukaryota, Metazoa, Chordata, Amphibia, Anura, Pelobatidae.